RNAcentral lists this ribosomal RNA (379 nucleotides) under uncultured bacterium. RNAcentral describes it as "bacterial SSU rRNA". It matches the Rfam family "Bacterial small subunit ribosomal RNA", at positions 362 to 758 of the family's 1533-position model. The record is from RNAcentral.
UAUUGGACAAUGGGGGCAACCCUGAUCCAGCAAUGCCGCGUGAGUGAUGAAGCCCUUCGGGUUGUAAAGCUCUUUUGUUAGGGACGAUGAUGACGGUACCUAACGAAUAAGCUCCGGCUAACUUCGUGCCAGCAGCCGCGGUAAUACGAAGGGAGCUAGCGUUGUUCGGAAUUACUGGGCGUAAAGGGCGCGUAGGCGGCUUGAUAAGUUUGAUGUGAAAGCCCUGGGCUUAACCUAGGAAUAGCAUUGAAUACUGUCAGGCUAGAGGCCGAGAGAGGGAAAUGGAAUUGCGAGUGUAGAGGUGAAAUUCGUAGAUAUUCGCAAGAACACCAGUGGCGAAGGCGAUUUCCAGGCUACGGUACUGACGCAAGGCGCGAGG